CCCUUAGACGUUCUGGGCCGCACGCGCGCUACACUGACCAGUGCAACAAGCAUCCGUCCUUGGCCGACAGGCCCGGGCAAUCUUUGAACGCUGGUCGUGAUGGGGAUAGACUUUUGCAAUUUUUGGUCUUCAACGAGGAAUUCCUAGUAAACGCAAGUCAUCAACUUGCAUUGAUUACGUCCCUGCCCUUUGUACACACCGCCCGUCGCACCUACCGAUUGGAUGGUCCGGUGAAGCCUCGGGAUUGUGGUUCUUGCCGCUUUAUUGUGGCGUGACCGCGAGAACUUGUCUAAACCUUAUCAUCUAGAGGAAGGUGAAGUCGUAACA
This 327-nucleotide ribosomal RNA is filed under the name uncultured eukaryote. Its description in RNAcentral is "partial 18S ribosomal RNA". It matches the Rfam family "Eukaryotic small subunit ribosomal RNA", at positions 1470 to 1796 of the family's 1831-position model. The record is from RNAcentral.